AGUAACCUUUUUAACUUGUUGGAAUUGGAUUCAUAAUUGUUACAGCAUGCAUGUGCCUUUUCAUGUUAUUUGGCAAUAAAAGGCUUAGAUCAAACGAGAUAUAAAAUCCAUUUGGUUAUAUCACAAAUGAACAGUUGAUGAUCUUUCAAUUUGGAAUUUGUUUCAUGAAUAUUGCAACGUGAAAAUGAUCAAUUAAAUGGCAUUAGCUUUUUGUUAGCAUUUUUUGUAAACCUGUUUCUUCAAGAGGUAACACUCAGACAACUUGUUAAGUUUCUGGGAAAGUAAGAAGGCAAAGGUUUA
This 300-nucleotide long non-coding RNA is filed under the name Mytilus galloprovincialis (Mediterranean mussel). Lineage: Eukaryota; Metazoa; Mollusca; Bivalvia; Mytilida; Mytilidae. The record is from RNAcentral.